CUUACUUCAUGGACAUUAAUGUUUUGGCCUUCUUGGUUCCAGCUGGGAUUAUUGCAUGCUUUCUUCCUUUAUCUGAUGCAAGCUCUUUUGUUGUCCUUUACAUUGUGACAUCUGUAUAUUUUUCUGGAGUCAUGGUCCGUCUGAUGCUUGUACUUGCUCCAGCGGCAUGUGUCAUGUCUGGAAUUGCCCUUUCUGAAGCUUUUAGUGUUUUCACACGAUCAAUUAAAUUUCAGCUACAUGGAUUAUCAGGGAGUUCCCAAGUUGAUUCAGGGGAUGCUAGUUCAAGUACUGUUGUGGCACAAAAUGAUGCAGGAAAGGCUGAGAAAACUGAAGAUACAGCAAAAGAACGGCCUUCAAAAAAGAGCAAGAAGAAAGAAAAAGGGAUUGUGGAUAAACCAUCCCUAAAAGCCAAAAUUGAAAAAAGGCUUCUUGUUUUACCUUUUGAGGCGUCUAUCUUCGCUAUUCUACUACUUGUGUUGCUUGGUGCCUUCUACGUGGUUCAUUGUGUCUGGGCUGCAGCAGAAGCCUAUUCAGCACCCUCCAUUGUUUUAACAUCUUAUUCACAUGAUGGUGGUCUACAUGUUUUUGAUGAUUUUAGAGAGGCCUAUGCAUGGUUAAGCCACAAUACAGAGGUGGAUGAUAAAGUUGCAUCAUGGUGGGACUAUGGUUAUCAAACGACUGCUAUGGCUAACCGAACUGUUAUUGUCGACAAUAAUGACAAUAAUACUUGGAAUAACACGCAUAUUGCAACUGUUGGCACUGCCAUGUC
This 769-nucleotide unclassified non-coding RNA is filed under the name Hevea brasiliensis (rubber tree). Lineage: Eukaryota; Viridiplantae; Streptophyta; Magnoliopsida; Malpighiales; Euphorbiaceae. The record is from RNAcentral.